AGAAGGAAAAGAAGAUAAGAAAAAUAGAAUAUUUUUAUAAAAAAGUAUAGCAAAGCAGUGUUUUCUUUUGUUUGUCACUUUUAGUUUUACUACACACAGUUUAGAUAUUUAUGAUCUGUCAUAAUCUUAUUUUAGAAUGAAUAUUUCACACAUAUGUGGUAACUGUACUGCAUCAUUUUACCAUAUAAUCUUUAAACAGCACAACUAGCACUACGUUUAAUUGUUUUUAUUGGAAAAUAUUAGACAAAAUGAAGAGUCUUUUUGGGUCUAGAUCAUGAGAUUAUGGUGACAAGCUGGGUUUUCUGUUUAUUAACACUUUCUUCAUAUGCUUAAACAAACUGAAACAAAUAUAUCUUGUGUACUCCAAAGUAUUUUUCUGGUACUGAAGGUGAUCCUACUGAAAAUGGAAAUCUCAGGAAGAGAUGCUGUGGGGACAAAUUCUCCAGUCAGCCGACAGCCAAUACAAGAAUAAAUCAGGCUGUUUAUUAGAGAGAAUAAGUUUAAAAAACAUCAACAAUAUAACUCUCCAUUUCAAAGAUGUCGCAAUAGUAACUACAACUUCACAAUAUAUUAGAAAUUUAUUGUUAUUAGGGUAAUUGUACGCAAUAUCAAUUUCAAAAAGAAUUGUUUGGUUUGAGAAAAAAUUGCAAAUAAUCAAUGUUUAUAUUGACAAUUAGAAAAGUACAAAAAAGGUGUUUCUAUGCCAAAACAGUAAAUAUAGUCACAUGAAAUCAUGGUGUUGUCUGUAAUGAGGUCAAAGCAGAAGUAUGUUAACACUGUUUAGUUAAGUUGAUUUAAUUGUUGAUUUAUUGCACCAUAUCACCACUACAACUUCCAACUUUAUUGCAUGUUUUAUUAAUAUUGCCCAGCCUGAUUAAUAAACCACAUUUAAAGUCAACUCUGGUUAACUUAAAGCUUUCAAACUUUCUAAAUUUAAAGUAAAAUUGUCAUUUGGAAGUGAUCUGGAGAGAAAUGGGGAAAAUAUGUUAAAAGUUCUAGAAACACACAAAGAACAAAAAACAAAAAACAGAAUAAAUGUCACAAUUCGUUACCUAGCAACCUAAAGCCAAGUCCAGUCCCUCACCUGGCAACCCAAGUGAAGCUCCACCCACUAAAUUCAAGACGCUAUACCGCUGUGGCGUCUUGAAAGAAGCAAUACACAGCUGCUGACAGCAGUACACGUGUCCAUUCAUUUUCUCCCAGUCACGGAGAACCCAGCUGCGUCGCUUCAUUUUAUUUUUGUUUACAAUGUUUUGAAGAAAGUUGUAGUUUGCACAAAUCGGUUUAGGAAAGAGUCUUCUGAAAACUACCAACACUACAUUUAGGAUUUACCAAAACACCUGGGCGGAAGGAAGAUUAUGUUCCUACUACUCGUCACAAUUCUGCAGAUGAUGGCAAGAGCCACAACAUUACAGGAUACAAGCCUGUCAUCCUGACGUGUUUGACUGUGAAAUCCUUUGACUACUGAAGCAUCUUAACAACGUCAGUGUCCCUCUGCUGGACUCCCCGCAGAGUAUCAGGAAAAGCUGCAAGCUGAAUGAGAUGAAGAUGAGAUGCUCUACACCCCCCUGGCCCACAAAAUGCUGCCAACAGAAUCGCUAAGUAGAAAACAGAUCAGGUUUCAUCCACAAUUUCUUCCCACUAACAACCUGAAGUGUGAAAUCUGCUAUUGGAGGUAAGG
Molecule: long non-coding RNA, 1681 nt
Organism: Xiphophorus couchianus (Monterrey platyfish)
Lineage: Eukaryota; Metazoa; Chordata; Actinopteri; Cyprinodontiformes; Poeciliidae
Exons: 4
Source: RefSeq, a predicted model, not a curated record